GCAAUACCCCGGAAGUGAAUAUUGUACUUGUUUACGCUCCAACGCAGGAAAAUAAGUUUAGUUUUUAGGAAUAAUUUUGAUUUAAUUGGAAUUUUAGGCAUGAUUAUGAUUUGGUUUUAAGUGUCUAAUGGUGUAUUACAGCAGGAAAAGUGUGCCCGGGAAUACCGUUAGUUGGCGGCCAUAAAGUGAUUCCAUGUAUUUAUGAAGGCUGUGCAGGCUGUUGGUGUCAGGUUGUUGCGGUGAAGCACGACUACAAGCCGGGUACUUUGUUUCCGCUCCCCGCCUCCAGUAUUAUCCCCCCCACUACAUGUUCCUUCGAAUGACACGUAGUUGUUUGCUGGGAGCCGCACAACAGAGACAGCCAUCAUGGGCAAAUUCAACCGGCGGUUUAAACCAUUGCAGCAGGACAGGGACUGUGGCCGGCCCAUGUGGCGUCGUGUCCGGGUACUGAUGCUAUGUCUCCUCGGUGUGCUGGUGCUCUCGCUGGGGGUCGGGGUCUACCACCUGUCCAACGACUCCAUCGCCCCUGGAAAUGUUAACCGAAUCCUGGGUGCAGAUCUGACCAAGGACCGGCUGUUGCACAAACCCAGUAAGUCUUCUCCAGCUCAAAUCCGCCGUUUAGUGUCCCAAGUGGACGGGACUCGUCUGUGGGAGACUCACCUGAAGCCCAUCCUGAUAGAAAGGCUUCCUGGCACACAAGGCAGCCUGGUUGUACAGCAGCACAUCACCUCCGCCUUGUCUUCCCUGUCUGCCGGCUGGGACGUCCACUUGGACUCCUUCCAAUCGCCGACUCCUCGUGGAAAAGUCACUUUCACUAACAUUGUCGCCACCCUGGACCCUUCAGCUCCACGUCGGCUGCUGCUGACUUGCCAUUACGACUCCAAAGCGCUGCCUGCAGACAGACGCGCCCCAAAGAGGGUUUUUCUUGGGGCGAGUGACUCGGCGGUGCCCUGUGCUAUUAUCCUGGAACUAGCGACCUCUCUGGAUAAUCAGCUUAGGUCCGUCAAACAACAGAAGCUUCCGUUAUCCCUUCAGCUGGUGUUCUUUGAUGGGGAAGAGUCCUUUGAAGAAUGGACCGCCACUGACUCGUUGUACGGCUCCCGUCACAUGGCUGAGCGCAUGGCCCGCACGCCUCACUCUGCAGGCAGUACAGACACCAUGCUGCAAGCUGUGGAUCUCUUUGUGCUGCUAGACCUUCUCGGUGGUCCCGAUCCACUGAUUGUAAACCACUUCGACAACACGGCACGCUGGUUUGACCGUCUGAUCGCUGCAGAGAGGCGCCUCCAUAGGCAGGGUCUGCUGGCGUCGCACCCCUUGGAGCAGACCUACUUCAGAAAGGACAUCUUCUUUGGAGCAGUUCAGGAUGACCACAUACCGUUCCUCCAUAGAGGCGUUCCCGUGCUCCACGUCAUCGCCACGCCCUUCCCAAAGUUCUGGCAUACGCUGGACGACACGGAAGAGAACAUGCAUCGACCCACCGUGGAGAACCUGACCAAGAUCAUGGCGGUCUUUUUGGCGGAAUACCUUGGCCUGUGAAGCAAAAGCACUCGUGACUUACUUCUUUGGACGUUCUCAUCGGCCUCUAAAGAUGGUCUGAAGAAUAGUUCCUGUGGUGGAUCCCAGACUUACUACUAAUGUACUUCACACAUCCUUUUGUGCAAGUCAUCGUCUGCACCAGCUCAAAGAUCCUUGCACAAUAUCGUACAAAACUGCAGCUCCUAAGUGCCAGCGGAGGCUGUGACGGUGGUCCAGAGCACGAGUCAACAGGCACCGUACUGCAUAUGACUUUGGGGGUAAACAAACCUACAAGCCCAGCUCGUCAUCUACGGGGACCGACUGAAGCUGAGUCAGGAUCUUGGAGUCUCCGUCCAUAUCGUCGGGAUGCCCCAGCGGCGAGUGGGCGUCCUGCUCUGGCGAGGGGCUCCCCAGGAGCAGCGACUCGCCCCCCGGGAGGCCCAGUAAAGCCGGGUCUACAGGUAGGUGUCCUUUCCCCCGCCCGUCAAACAGAGUCGCUGAGGCAGAAAGGGGCAGGGGGUUCCAGGCGGACUGGGGCAGGUGCAUGUUGGGUGUCAGGCCGCCAUACAUGGGACUGAGGGUGAGCAUGCUCUCCGGCGAGAGCGCGUUCAACAUGGCGGGGGCCACCGACUGGUCCACCAGCGUGUUGGGUUGAGGAACCACGGUCGCCUGGUUGGUCGCGCCCCCGCUCUCCGCUGCGUAUGUGUUGAUGAAGUUCAUGGGGGGUGUUGUGAGGACGCUGGUGGGCUGCUCCGGCUGGGGGGCGACAGGAAGUGUGAGAGCGGGACUCACGCCAUUGGUGGAAACAUCCGGAACUGGUUUUAGAGGCAGACUGGUGAGUUGGAAGCCGGCCGGGAUGGUUAAGAUGAGUUUCCCUUGCUGGACGCUCAAGUAGGGGCUUCCACCCAGGAGGAGGUUACCUAGCAUGGACGUAAAUAAUACAUCAGUUGUCAUGGUGAUUUUUAUUAGUGCUUUCAAGCGAUUGGAAAAACAUGAAUAAUUAUGGCCCGUUACUUAUAUAUUUUUUAAUCUCACCUAAAAAUGCUAGGAAAAGUAUAUUCAAAUGUAACUAUUUAAAUGCAUUACAUUAUUAUUAAGAUAAACAUUUUAACCUGUUUAAUUGUAUUUAUGGACUGUGUAUGUCAAAAAGUCAAUAAACAAAUGUUUAAGAAAAAAGAAAGAAAAAAAGUUUGAUAUUUGAACAAAAAAGUGGUUUUAUAAAGAGUUGUAUUGUUUUUAACAUACCGUAUUUUCCGAAAGUUAUUUAGCAGAGGUCCUUCUUCAGUUGAAGUUAAAAUGGGAGAAACAUAUUUUUUUAUAAUUUAUUUUUGUUUGUUUUCUAAAAACAAAACACACUUUAAAUCCUUUUUUUCCCUCAAAACUCGACAGUGGCCUUAUAACCCGGUGCACCUCAUGUACGGAAUAAUUCUGGUUGUGCUUACCGACCUUGAAGCUAUUUUAUUUGGUACGUGGUGAAGUGAUAAGUGUGACCAGUAGAUGGCAGUCACACAGAAGAGAUACGUGUAGACUGCAAUAUGACUCAAGUAAUCAUCCAUCCAUCCAUCCAUUUUCUACCGCUUGUCCCUUUCGGGGUCGCGGGGGGUGCCGGAGCCUAUCUCAGCUACAAUCGGGCGGAAGGCGGGGUACACCCUGGACAAGUCGCCACCUCAUCACAGGGCCAACACAGAUAGACAGACAACAUUCACACUUAUUCACACACUAGGGACCAUUUAGUGUUCCCAAUCAACUUAUCAACACCAAUGUUUUAUAUGUUCCAUUGAAAAUAUAGAACAUUACACACGGCAAUCAAAAAUCUAUCAAAAUGUUUUAGGACGACUUUGGUAAGCUAUGAAGCCGCAUAGUUUGAUGGAUUGUACUGUGCUUCAACAUAGGAGUAUUAUUAUGGUGUGUGUGUAUAAGUUAAGACAUAUUAUCUGGCGUUUUGUUUCACAAUAUUAUGCAAAAGCAACUUUUCUUACCUUCUGGUACCUGCUGAUCUGUAUUUUUGGAUCUGCAUAAAUCCUGCCGACACCGUAGUGGAUAAGCUUCUUAUUUUUCUGGAUUAACUUCUUAUCUUGUUAUGUGACAUUCAUCCUCCGCUGUUGCCAUUUCUAAUAUAAAGUAGUGUAAAGUUCUUACUUAUAUUUGUCAGUAAACUCGCCAUGAAAGCGCUAAAACAUACCGGUGUAGUGAGUUUACAUUAUUCACCCAAGGAACUUUAGUUAUUAGAGUUCCGGUUGGACAGUUUUUCACGGGACAUACACUACCGUUCAAAAGUUUGGGGUCACCCAAACAAUUUUGUGGAAUAGCCUUCAUUUCUAAGAACAAGAAUAGACUGUCGAGUUUCAGAUGAAAGUUCUCUUUUUCUGGCCAUUUUGAGCGUUUAAUUGACCCCACAAAUGUGAUGCUCCAGAAACUCAAUCUGCUCAAAGGAAGGUCAGUUUUGUCGCUUCUGUAACGAGCUAAACUGUUUAUCAGAUGUGUGAACAUGAUUGCACAAGGGUUUUCUAAUCAUCAAUUAGCCUUCUGAGCCAAUGAGCAAACACAUUGUACCAUUAGAACACUGGAGUGAUAGUUGCUGGAAAUGGGCCUCUAUACACCUAUGUAGAUAUUGCACCAAAAACCAGACAUUUGCAGCUAGAAUAGUCAUUUACCACAUUAGCAAUGUAUAGAGUGUAUUUCUUUAAAGUUAAGACUAGUUUAAAGUUAUUCUAAUUGAAAAGUACAGUGCUUUUCCUUCAAAAAUAAGGACAUUUCAAUGUGACCCCAAACUUUUGAACGGUAGUGUAUAUAUGUAUAUAUAUAUUAUAUAUAAAAAAAAACUUUUCGCAAUUUGCAAUAUGCAUUUUCUUGCAACUGGAACAUUCCAACGCAAACUCGCAGUUAUUGCCUGCAUCUUUCAUGAGUGAAAAGUGUCGCAAAUUAACAAAAAUUGAAAAAAAAUAUGAUUAAAAAGCCAAAUGUCCUGUUGUGGUAAUAUUUCAGCUUCAAAUUGGAUGGAUGGGAAAUAUACGCCCAUCAACAGGUACGAACGAGCAAAAAUGUUGUGAUCACAUGACAAAAAAAAAGGACAACCCGACCUCGUUUUUCCAAAUGGGGAAAAAAUGCACUUUAAGAUGUUGAAUGUUUAUUGAAGUAACAUUUUUGCUCACAGAAAUGAGUUCAGUUUUUUUAUUUAUUCAAGAUAAAUUAAAUGACUUUCAAAUUACACUACCAUUAUAAACAAUUCUACUGUAAUAAGAAAUAGACGUUUUUAUCCUUUUAAACGGUUACUUUCAUUCUUAUUACAGUCUAUAUUACGAUUGCAUGACAUUAUAAACACGGUAUCGGUUAUUUCUUCAGUUUAAGAACAUGAUGUAAACAAAAGCUCAGAGUCUGUCUGCAUAAAACCAAAUAUUUUUUAAGUAAAUUAUUGCAUGUUGUUCUAAUGUGUGGCACCUUGAGACAAGAAUAUAUGUUGAUUGACAAUCUAACCAUUAAACAUGUUUUCCUUCACUCUUUAUUUUGGCAAUCUAAUGCAUUCAUAUGUAUAAAAUAGAAACGUCGCAAAUCAAAUUGCAAUUUUGUCGAGAAUUAAAGACAAAAAAAAGUUUUUUUCUCAAAAUUGUUCAGCCCUAGUAGAUGCACUACAAGACGGUUUCUAAAAUACCCAUAAAAAGUGGUACAUGUCUGCCGCAUGUUUCGAAACACAGGAAAACACCACACAUGAUAACAUGAAUGUGCAGUAAAUGAGUGUUUCCAUGGUGAAAGCCCACGCAAAAACCUAAUUUAAAUAAGGCGGUCUGCACCAGUUAUCAAUUAAUAAUAAUAAUAAUAAAAGAUUUUAUUUGUAAAAGCACUUUACAUUGAGCAAACAACCUCAAAGUGCUACAGUGCAUUUAAAAAAAUAAAAUAAAAUAAAAAACAACGCUGCCAGAACCACAAAUAGCUGCCCCCAACAUGUAAAAAUCAAUUGUACACAAAGUCUUAGGAGAUCACCUGCAACACGCCCACUAAUAGUACACACUGUUUUGUAGUUAGCGUGUGGUAUUUGGAUCUUAGUAGAUCAGGCCCAUAACGCGCUAAAAAUAACUGUGAUUAAUUAAUCGCAAUGAAUGUAAUGUAUGGAAGUUUGCUCACCUUGAGAUGCAGAAGGUAGCUGAAUGAUUCCAGAGUUGAGGAGCUGCAAUCCGGGGGCCACACUGGUUGCGGGGCCCACAUUCUGAAUGGGCCUCAGUUGGUUUAUCCUAAAGGGGCCUUGAUUGAUCCCACCUGGCGCCGACGCCGAAGCCAGGAUCUGUAAAGGCACUCCGGCUGAGGGCACGGAGAGAGCGGGACUCGCCGGCACCACCUGGGGGAAGGAGAUAGUGGAGGAGGUCUGGAUGGACGAGACCGGCACCAACUGAGGCAUGGAGAGCGGCACUAACUGCGCCGCUGUGGAGACUUUGGCCUGCGGUACUGGAACCACUUGUGUUGGCGAGGAGAAGGAAAUGACCUGCGGCGCUUGGAGCUUUGCGGGCGAGGGGUUGAUGGUUUGUGGGAGAGGAUUACCGGGAAGCUGGGAGAUGGACAUGAUGGCCGUGGAACCUUCAACCGCCUCCUGGUGUCCGCUCAUAUGGAAGUUGGCGCUCUGUGGCGUGAGCGAGGACACUGGAACCAGCUGGGGACAUUGGGACACGUGUGCCAGCUGGGAAACUGGUACACCUUGGAUGGAAGGCACCACCUGUGGCAAGGAGAGGACCUGAGGGGAUUGGUUGGAGGUAACCAGCGUACUUGUUGGGUUUAUUUGCGAGGCAGCGCUGGCAAAGACCACAUAUUCUCCGUGUUGACUUGGGAUGGUCAAAGCUGCUGAUGAGGAUUGGCUCUCCUGGCACGGAGGGCUUUGUGUUAAAACCAGAGAAGGGAGGCUGCUUGUUGGCGACAGACUCUGUGAGGACGGAGACAAGGACAAAGAAGAGCAAGACAUUUUCUGGCUGUUUUCUACUUUUAUGAUGUCCUCCGGCCCGCUGAUGAAAUCCAAAGUGUUGCUACUUUUGCUCUUGGCUUGCGCAGGAAUAGAAAUGACGGACGUCUGACUGUUAGUGCUGAAGACCACUGACGGAAGACAGUUUGACUUUGUCACCAGGGGGGAAACCGAUUGUUCCAAGGAAACUUGCGGCGGAGAGUCCGGUUUGACAAGAACCUGAGCGCCGUUGAGUAUCAAAGGAGGGUUGGUCACCUGGCCCAAGGUGACCUUCUGGCUUUCCCCCAGGCCAAGGCCAUUGAUGAUGACCCCGGCACCGGUCCCAGAGAUGAGGGAGUUUCCGUUGAACAGUAACGGUUGGGAGGCUGUGAGGAAGCCGCUGGAACCGUUGAGGAUGAGUUGACCUCCCGGGGCGCAGUUCACCGCGGAUAGCGAGAUAAUGGAGGCCUUGGCGGCAGCGUGCUCUUCUGCUUUGUCAGGGGUGUCGUCCAUGGCCUCGUCGUCAGUGCUGUGGUUUCCGUCGGAUUCGCUGCAACAACGACAGCAAAACAAACAAGCAUGUAAAUAAUCACAGCAUGGAUAGACCAUUAUUGAUGUUAUUCUUAGUGGGAAUACGACUACAACUGGGCCUAUAAAACGAUAUCAAUAUACAAACCCCGUUUCCAUAUGAGUUGGGAAAUUGUGCUAGAUGUAAAUAUAAACGGAAUACAAUGAUUUGCAAAUCCUUUUCAACCCAUAUUCAAUUGAAUGC
RNA transcript from Entelurus aequoreus (snake pipefish), 7208 nucleotides. It is a transcript of the gene named glutaminyl-peptide cyclotransferase-like a, with no coding region annotated. The record is from RefSeq and is a predicted model, not a curated record. The transcript has 9 exons. Lineage: Eukaryota; Metazoa; Chordata; Actinopteri; Syngnathiformes; Syngnathidae.